AUACGUAGGUGGCGAGCGUUGUCCGGAAUUACUGGGCGUAAAGGAUGCGUAGGUGGAUACUUAAGUGGGAUGUGAAAUCCCCGGGCUCAACCCGGGAACUGCAUUCCAAACUGGGUAUCUAGAGUGCAGGAGAGGAAAGCGGAAUUCCUAGUGUAGCGGUGAAAUGCGUAGAUAUUAGGAGGAACACCAGUGGCGAAGGCGGAUUUCUGGACUGUAACUGACACUGAGGCAUGAAAGCGUGGGUAGCAGACGGGAUUAGAUGCCCUGGUAGUGCACGCCGUAAACGAUGAGUACUAGUUGUAGGAGUUAUCGACCCCGUCGGUGCCGUCGUUAACGCAAUAGUUGCCCCGCCUGGGGAGUACGGUCGCAAGACUAAAACUCAAAGGAAUUGACGGGU
Molecule: ribosomal RNA, 397 nt
Filed under: uncultured bacterium
Lineage: Bacteria
Description: partial 16S ribosomal RNA
Rfam family: Bacterial small subunit ribosomal RNA
Source: RNAcentral